UAAAUGGAAUUGAUGAGUGUUUUAUG
This 26-nucleotide non-coding RNA is filed under the name Homo sapiens (human). The record is from RNAcentral. Lineage: Eukaryota; Metazoa; Chordata; Mammalia; Primates; Hominidae.